Coffea arabica (coffee) is the source of this 2212-nucleotide non-coding RNA. NCBI's taxonomy places the organism in Eukaryota, Viridiplantae, Streptophyta, Magnoliopsida, Gentianales, Rubiaceae. The record is from RefSeq and is a predicted model, not a curated record.
GGUUGAACGGAUAUGGAAAAAACCUAAAAAUGGGGAGGAAAUUUCAGUUUGAACGAUCGAAAAGGAGAGAAAUUUCCAAUCACCACCGCCGCAAUCCAAGCUCUGCCACGGCAUCUCCACCUCGUGCGCCACUUAGCUGACUGACGCACCUCCCAUUCCCGCGCGGCCCUUCUCCGCCCCAGAUCUCCUCUCUUCCUCACGCCGCCCGCCCAAGCCACCAUCAGUCCGCAUUCGCUGCUGUUGCUGUCUGCCAUCGUCACCACCAUACACAACCUCCUUGGCCGCUGCCGCUCUCUGCAAAUCUAGAUGAAAGCUCUCAAACGAAGUCAGACUUCGUCAUCUUCCAAUUCCAGAAUGAAAGAGUCAAGAAGAAAGGGACGCCAUUCUGGAUACGAGCUUAUUCGAAUAAUCUCCUACUGCCAUGUUUUUAUCCUGCACAAGAGGUAAUGCAAUUUUAUGUUUAAGCCAUAUGAAUUUUAUGUAUCAUUAAAGAUAUAAUCUAGACAGAGUCAUAAAUGAACUACUCUGAUGGAACUAAAAGGAAUAUAAUAUUACAGUAUAAAUUGAGUUAGAAUUGGCCCAGCAAGAAGCAAAUAAAAACUACUUUCUCCGCUAUAAAAUAUGCAAUUUGCUGGUAGCUAUGCUUGAUAUGCACAUGCAAUGGUGAUGACGUUCUUUAUUGCCAUGGCGUUGUAUGUGUCAAAAUCAACUGUAAAUUAAGCUCUUGUAUGCUGAAACCAAAACUUUACACAUUAGACAAAAUUAAGAAUGACACCAUGUAAAAAUAGGAACGAAAUAUGUGAUAAGUUUUGAAGCCAAAAAUAUUGAAAUUUGAGAAAUAAAAAUGAAAGAACUAACAUUUCCAUGGGAAACAAAUAUGAAAAAGAAAUUAUUGAUUAAGUAAAGAGGCCAAUCGAUCUCACAAUUAUUGAUCACUAUACCAGGGAAAGAUAAAUGAUAGCAAAUAGUAAAAUAGUUCAUAUCCACACUGUUUGUGGUUGCAAAACCAUACCUUGCUUCUUGAUAAGAAUUCAUGAGAAAAGUCUUGUAGUAGCCAGCCAACUCAAGCAGUUCAUCAACUUUCUCACUUUUCUUCCCAAAAUUUCAAAAGCAAAUUCAGUAAGCACUAUAUGAUUGAUAGCAACAAGUGAUUAUUCAAAAAACAACGAGUGAAGGAAAUGCAAAGGGAUUUAGAAAUUUGAGGGAUGAAAGCAAAUGAUCCUAAGAGGGUUCAGCACAUGCAGUCCUCAACCAAGAGACGUUGAAUUUAGGCGAAAACUUGCUAUUCAUCAAGAAUGACAGUAAUACCUAUACAUUAUUUGGAAACAAGCGCAAUCAAGUCAUCCAUGUGGUUUCCAUCAUUUGAUAGAAAGGCAAUGAGCGGACAGAAUGACUUGGAAUUCAAGAAAAAAUCAAGCUAACAAGAAUACUUAAAACCAAGAAAAAAUGUAAGCCACCGACCAACUUGAUAUGAACUAUUUAAACUAUCAAUGAAAUAGCAAGUUGAAGUUCCCAUGGAUUACAUCAUCUUCAUUAAGAAAAGGCAUAAGAUCAUUACAUGCAAUCUUGGACCAAUCAGUAAAGUCAAGAUCAACUGAAAGCUUUUAAUGCAGAAAUUAUUAAUACAAUUCCAUAAGGCUUCCACAAAUAUGCCUUUUUGAAAUAGAAACAGGGUUGCAAUGUAACAAUUCUUAGAUCUCGAUUAAAUUCGGAAUUUGUAUUAUAGGUCCAAUUAAAAACAAAAGCAAAAAUUUUUUUGGUCGAAUAAAUUGAGGAAUUUGUAUCAGUUAAGUUUCUUUAGAAAAAGUAACAAGUAACCGAGGAUAGCAUAAGGUAAAUAAGUACCUAUUUAACUCAAAUUCUGAACUACAUCAAUUCAAAAGAAAACCAUGACUUGCAUUCCGAAUCCAAAGCUAGUCCGAGGGUCUUGUAAAGGGUUUGACUUGGCAUCUGGACUGUUAUAUCCUUCAAUUUUAGUUUGUAAAGAACCACAUUGAUCAUCUUCCAGUAGCUCAAAGACAAUAGUGCCAGGCUAAUUGUGAUAUUUCCAUCACCACAUACCUCGACUAAUUUUUUCACCAUAAGGUGUCAGUUUAGAUUCUUUAUCCACUUCUUCACCUUGAAAUCCAUAAACAGCCUCCAAUGACUUACCCAAAAUCCAUCAAUAGUUGUGCAAAGAAUAAACUGCUAAAUAAAUUUGAAAAAAAAAAAA